This 872-nucleotide ribosomal RNA is filed under the name uncultured bacterium. RNAcentral's name for it is "bacterial SSU rRNA". It matches the Rfam family "Bacterial small subunit ribosomal RNA", at positions 1 to 856 of the family's 1533-position model. The record is from RNAcentral.
UUAGAGUUUGAUCAUGGCUCAGAAUCAACGCUGGCGGCGUGCCUAAUAUAUGCAAGUCGAACGCGAAAGCCCCGCAAGGGGUAAGUAGAGUGGCAAACGGGUGAGUAACACGUGGGUGACCUGCCUUCGAGCGGGGGAUAACGUCCCGAAAGGGACGCUAAUACCGCAUAACAUCCUGCCUUUGAAGAGGCGGUGAUCAAAGCUGGGGAUCGCAAGACCUAGCACUCGAAGAGGGGCCCGCGUCCGAUUAGCUUGUUGGUGGGGUAAUGGCACACCAAGGCUACGAUCGGUAGCCGGCCUGAGAGGGCGGACGGCCACACUGGGACUGAGACACGAGCUAGACUCCUACGGGAGGCAGCAGUGGGGAAUUGUUCGCAAUGGGCGCAAGCCUGACGACGCAACGCCGCGUGGAGGAUGAAGAUCUUCGGGUCGUAAACUCCUUUCGAUCGAGACGAAUUCCUCUGGGGUGAACAAUCCCGGAGGUUGACAGUACCGAGAGAAGAAGCCCCGGCUAACUCCGUGCCAGCAGCCGCGGUAAUACGGGGGGGGCAAGCGUUGUUCGGAAUUACUGGGCGUAAAGGGCUCGUAGGUGGCCAACUAAGUCGGACGUGAAAUCCCUCGGCUUAACCGGGGAACUGCGUCCGAUACUGGUUGGCUUGAGUUUGGGAGAGGGAUGCGGAAUUCCAGGUGUAGCGGUGGAAUGCGUAGAUAUCUGGAGGAACACCGGUGGCGAUGCGGCAUCCUGGACCAAUACUGACGCUGAGGAGCGAAAGCCAGGGGAGCAAACGGGAUUAGAUACCCCGGUAGUCCUGGCCCUAAACCGAUGAAUGCUUGGUGUGGCGGGUUUCGAUCCCUGCCGUGCCGAAGCUUCC